Molecule: ribosomal RNA, 440 nt
Filed under: uncultured bacterium
Lineage: Bacteria
Description: partial 16S ribosomal RNA
Rfam family: Bacterial small subunit ribosomal RNA
Source: RNAcentral
CCUACGGGAGGCAGCAGUGGGGAAUAUUGCACAAUGGGGGAAACCCUGAUGCAGCGACGCCGCGUGAGUGAAGAAGUAUUUCGGUACGUAAAGCUCUAUCAGCAGGGAAGAAAAUGACGGUACCUGACUAAGAAGCCCCGGCUAACUACGUGCCAGCAGCCGCGGUAAUACGUAGGGGGCAAGCGUUAUCCGGAUUUACUGGGUGUAAAGGGAGCGUAGACGGCAGGGCAAGUCUGGAGUGAAAUCCCAUGGCUUAACCGUGGAACUGCUUUGGAAACUGUGCAGUUAGAGUACAGGAGAGGUAGGCGGAAUUCCUGGUGUAGCGGUGAAAUGCGUAGAUAUUAGGAAGAACACCGGUGGCGAAGGCAGCUUACUAAACUGUAACUGACAUUGAGGCUCGAAAGCGUGGGGAGCAAACAGGAUUAGAUACCCGUGUAGUC